RNAcentral lists this non-coding RNA (28 nucleotides) under Rattus norvegicus (Norway rat). Lineage: Eukaryota; Metazoa; Chordata; Mammalia; Rodentia; Muridae. The record is from RNAcentral.
UGCUAAGGGCUGCUAGGAUGACUCCGGG